Molecule: long non-coding RNA, 301 nt
Filed under: Mustela putorius furo (domestic ferret)
Lineage: Eukaryota; Metazoa; Chordata; Mammalia; Carnivora; Mustelidae
Description: lncRNA (ENSMPUG00000029804.1)
Source: RNAcentral
GGAAGAGCGGCGGCGCGCGCGCCGGGGGCGCCGUCCCCAGACCCAAUCUCCCGGAUGACCGUGUGUUUGUGCGCGCACUUUCCUAAACAGACUGAAAGUGUCAUGAGGGCAGGGUCCAUGCCACUGUUGUAUUCCCAGCAUUAGCACGAUGUCCGGCAUAAAUACGCAGGAAGUAUUUGUUGAACGAAUGACAGCCUCACUUUGGCCUGCUUUUUUCCUGGCGCUCAGAAGAAGGUGAGAUAUAUUUCUGUAGGAGAACUUAUCUUUAAGUUAAGCCCUGUUAAGCCUAAAGUCACCCAAA